CUAGCUCAAACCGGGGACGACUGAACCCGCGUAAUCGUGAAUAGUCGAAACUCGAGAAGUUCUUUCUUCAAAAGAAAAACCCAGUUUUCAUUUCUGUAUAUUAUUCCUUAAAUAGCGAGAAAUUUUCAUUCUUGUUUUAGAUCCAAUUCCAUUUCCAUUGAUCGCAUAAACCCCAUUCCAUAGCUCUCAAAAACAUCAUAGAAAGGAGUCAAAAUGGGUUGGAUUAGAGAGACAAUCGAGUCUUUCAAAUCCAUAAAAAUCAGAAAGGCUCUAUCUCAGGCCAUUAGUUUUGGUUUGAUUAUUUCGUUUGCAUUGAUGAUUUGGAAAGCAUUGAUGUGCUGGACAGGCAGUAUGUCACCUGUGGUGGUUGUACUCACUGGAAGUAUGGAACCUGGUUUUGCUAGGGGCGACAUUCUCUUCCUCCACAUGAACAAAGGUCCAAUUCGUGCAGGGGAGAUCGUCGUGUAUAACGUCGAGGGACGCGACAUUCCAAUUGUCCAUCGUGUAAUUAAGGUUCACGAGACAAGAGAUACGGGAGAAGUUUAUUUUCUUACAAAAGGUGACAGUAAUGAGUUUGAUGAUAUUCCACUGUAUGCUGAGAAUCAGCUUUGGUUGGAAAGACAACAUAUAAUGGGAAAAGCCAUCGGGUAAAUUCGCAAGAAUUUCUUGCCGUAUGUUGGAUAUGCAACAAUUAUCAUGACAGACAUGCCUAUAAUCAAGUACAUACUUAUUGGUGUAUUGGGAUUGCUGGUCUUAACCUCUAAUGAUUAGGGAAUGAAAAUUUCUGUACUCUUAAUUUAUACCUAAUAUAAAGGAUAGGAAGAGUUAUGAGAGGGCAAGGCCUGAUUAUUCUUUCUAUUGUAAGGAAUAAUUUAUUUAGGCUGUGGAAAUGAAAUAUAGAACUCAACAUUCAAUCACUUGGGCCAUGUCUAAUUUACAUUCUCAUCCAUUGACAAUAUUACAUGUAAUAAAAAUAGCUCAAAUGCUCUCAAA
Molecule: RNA transcript, 993 nt
Organism: Benincasa hispida (wax gourd)
Lineage: Eukaryota; Viridiplantae; Streptophyta; Magnoliopsida; Cucurbitales; Cucurbitaceae
Source: RefSeq, a predicted model, not a curated record